Molecule: long non-coding RNA, 924 nt
Organism: Microplitis demolitor
Lineage: Eukaryota; Metazoa; Arthropoda; Insecta; Hymenoptera; Braconidae
Exons: 3
Source: RefSeq, a predicted model, not a curated record
AGUUGAUCAAAGAACUCGCACAUUGUUAACACAAUUAUUACAAUUAACAAGUGGUUAAGUGAAAUUAAUUAAUAUAAAAAUUUUAAUCAUGGCGAAUUUAUAUUGUAUUAUUACAGUUAUACUUUUAAUAACAUCCAUUAUCACAGAAAAUGAAUGUAAUGCCAUUUAUGAUCAAAAAUGCACGACCAAAAAUAGUCCGUGCACUAACGAUAGCGAGUGCUGCAGAAAUUUGAAAUGCACAAGAUACGCUACGGAAUUUCGAUCCUCCUGUAAACGAUCAACAUUGGCGAUACCUAAUAUAGGAUAAUAAUAAUAAUGAUUACUUAUAAAAUUAAUAAACAAUUUAAAAUUAACGAAUUGUUUAAAUAUUAAAUUGUUAUAAAAAAACUUUUAAAUAUUUAAAGCAACGAUUAAAUGAAUUAUAAAACAAGUUUUCAAAUUGAAUUUAUAAUAAAUAUGAAUAAUGACCAAUACGCGCAGUUAAAUUGAUUACAAUCACAAAACCUGAUGUUUACAAUAAUAAUUAUUAUUGCAAACACAUCUGCAGUGAGUCAUACAAUGACGAAUCAUUCAGCUUCAUUGAUACUCACUUUAAUCGGUAAUUGCUGUAUAUCAAUUAUACUAUACAUGUAUAAGAAGACACGUGACAAAUAAUUGCUACUAAAAUGCUCAUUUUAUUUUUGUAUAAAUUAUUAAAUAUUUACUUUUUACUGAUUGAUAGCCAGUUACUUUUGCUUACGAGCUUAUUAACUUAACAAUGUCUAUUAUAAUUUAAUAAUUUACUUAUUAUUUAUAAUACGUAACAAAUUGCUGAUUAUAAUGAUUUAUGGUACUCAUAGUUCAGACAUCAAGUCACAUUGUUACACCUUGAAAUAUGUGGGUGCGUUCGUAGUUCACGAUUGUAAAAAAAGAAACAUUAUGAAA